RNAcentral lists this ribosomal RNA (551 nucleotides) under Oceanobacillus iheyensis. RNAcentral describes it as "bacterial SSU rRNA". It matches the Rfam family "Bacterial small subunit ribosomal RNA", at positions 69 to 601 of the family's 1533-position model. The record is from RNAcentral. Lineage: Bacteria; Bacillati; Bacillota; Bacilli; Caryophanales; Bacillaceae.
AUUCUCUUCGGAGUUGACGAUAAUGGAAUGAGCGGCGGACGGGUGAGUAACACGUAGGCAACCUGCCUGUAAGACUGGGAUAACUCGUGGAAACGCGAGCUAAUACCGGAUAACACUUUUCAUCUCCUGGUGAGAAGUUGAAAGGCGGCUUUUGCUGUCACUUACAGAUGGGCCUGCGGCGCAUUAGCUAGUUGGUAAGGUAACGGCUUACCAAGGCGACGAUGCGUAGCCGACCUGAGAGGGUGAUCGGCCACACUGGGACUGAGACACGGCCCAGACUCCUACGGGAGGCAGCAGUAGGGAAUCUUCCGCAAUGGACGAAAGUCUGACGGAGCAACGCCGCGUGAGUGAUGAAGGUUUUCGGAUCGUAAAACUCUGUUGUUAGGGAAGAACAAGUACUAUAGUAACUGAUGGUACCUUGACGGUACCUAACCAGAAAGCCACGGCUAACUACGUGCCAGCAGCCGCGGUAAUACGUAGGUGGCAAGCGUUGUCCGGAAUUAUUGGGCGUAAAGCGCUCGCAGGCGGUUCUUUAAGUCUGAUGUGAAAUC